UACCAGCACCCCGAGUGGUCGGGACGUUUAUUGGGCCUAAAGCAUCCGUAGCCGGUUCUACAAGUCUUCCGUUAAAUCCAACUGCUUAACAGGUGGGCUGCGGAAGAUACUAUAGAGCUAGGAGGCGGGAGAGGCAAGCGGUACUCGAUGGGUAGGGGUAAAAUCCGUUGAUCCAUUGAAGACCACCAGUGGCGAAGGCGGCUUGCCAGGACGCGCUCGACGGUGAGGGAUGAAAGCUGGGGGAGCAAACCGGAUUAGAUACCCUGGACG
This 270-nucleotide ribosomal RNA is filed under the name uncultured bacterium. RNAcentral describes it as "partial 16S ribosomal RNA". It matches the Rfam family "Archaeal small subunit ribosomal RNA", at positions 474 to 744 of the family's 1478-position model. The record is from RNAcentral.